GAUGAACGCUGGCGGCGUGCCUAAUACAUGCAAGUCGAGCGAACAGACGAGGAGCUUGCUCCUCUGACGUUAGCGGCGGACGGGUGAGUAACACGUGGAUAACCUACCUAUAAGACUGGGAUAACUUCGGGAAACCGGAGCUAAUACCGGAUAAUAUAUUGAACCGCAUGGUUCAAUAGUGAAAGACGGUUUUGCUGUCACUUAUAGAUGGAUCCGCGCCGCAUUAGCUAGUUGGUAAGGUAACGGCUUACCAAGGCGACGAUGCGUAGCCGACCUGAGAGGGUGAUCGGCCACCCUGGAACUGAGACACGGGCCAGACUCCUACGGGAGGCAGCAGUAGGGAAUCUUCCGCAAUGGGCGAAAGCCUGACGGAGCAACGCCGCGGGAGGGAUGAAGGUUUUCGGAUCGUAAAACUCUUUUAUUAGGGAAAAACAAAUGUGUAAGUAACUAUGCACGUCUUGACGGUACCAAAUCAAAAAGCCACGGCUAACUACGU
Molecule: ribosomal RNA, 496 nt
Filed under: uncultured bacterium
Lineage: Bacteria
Description: partial 16S ribosomal RNA
Rfam family: Bacterial small subunit ribosomal RNA
Source: RNAcentral